UCCCCAUUACUUCCUUUCUUUUUUAAACUAGGCAACCACCUUCAAUUCUAGUUGAUUCAAGGAUAUAACAUUAUCAACAGUGAUGUGCAGAUAAAUGUUUAACAACCAGCUCUUGGAAGUAGUGGGGAGUCCAUAUUUGUAGCAUUUGCUGACUCCCAUGGUGUAAAUACUCCCACCCUGGCCAAUUUCAAGCUACCAACAUGACCGAAUGUGGAGUUGACAGGAGAUGUGCAGUAGCUCACCAUCAUACAAUAUUUACUAUAUAAAUGCAAAUAACCUAAAAAGCAUAGAUUGUAGUAAAAUACAGUGAAAUCAUUAGGAAUUAAUGGGUUCUGAGCAUUUAUUACCUUUUUUUCAACAAUAACUUAUCAUAUUGUUAGUUGAUGGAAUUUAAUGUUUAAUAAUGCCUGUGUUUCUCAACCAGGUCACAAAAUUCCUGAAAAUUUUAGCAAUCAGCUCUCGUAAGCCCACAUGAGCUGGUUCCAGCAUACCACUGGAUGAAUAAAUGCAAAAGCAGAAAACUAACGAAAACAGUGUCUCCAAACUCUUCUUAUAAGUUGGAUGAGUCCAUCGAAAGAGGUUCCUAUAGACGGGCCUGAGGUGAAGUUGAAAUCGCGGCCAGGCUGCUUCCUGCAAAUCAGCCUUGGAGAAUAUUUAGAUCAUUCCCAAUUUUUAUUAGAGCCAAACAGUGCUGCACCGACCACACAGGACAUACAGCUCUGGGGAAACUAUGAGGAUUUCUAUAGAGGAGACACCAAGAUAUGAAGCCAUUGGGUCCCACUUCUUACUGAUACUAACUUUUCAUCGUGUAUAAGUUAUUAUCUCCUUUAAUCCUCAUGCAGAUGAGGGACAUGGGAAUUAUUUCAUUCCUAAUUUACAGCUGAGAAAACAGAAAGAUCCAGAGUGCUAACAUUUGCCCAGGGUCCCACAACUGGCAAGAAUACCAAUAUUUUUAAUUAAAACGAAAAAGAGAAAUGGGCAGAGAAAAAGAAGUCUGUUUGGGUUUUUUUUCUCUUCUAAAAAGAAAAAUAUGUUUUCAUGUUGGAUUCAUAAUCUGUAUUCUUAAACUUUUGGAUACCGCUAGAGAAAAAUAAAUCAUCUUUUAAAAAAUGUUUGAAGAAGGCAGACUGUUUUGAUCCUCUUCUCGGCCUUACUUGGCUCCCGACAACCUGGGGAAAGUUGGCAAUUGUGCGGUUGUGCACAGAGAAAGUUCAAAAUGGCCAUGAGCAGAUGUCCCCACAGGGCCACCCAAGUAAAGCUUUGGGAAAAGAAAAGCAGCUUUGAUCAAACUGAAAAAACUUUCUGUGAAGAGAAAUAUCCAGCUGAAUAACAGAGAGUACGGUAGAGAAGGGGAAAGGGGAAUGAAGCAAGAUAUACUAGAAAGUCAGCUGAUGGGACCCAACCGACGGAUGCCCUUGCUACGUACUUGCCAGCUGAGCCCGCUCCCAAACUCCCCAUCCAAAACACACACACAUACCAUCUUUUCUGUUCUGCAGUGAUGCUGGCGGCCUGGAAAGAGGAAUGGUGUGACCUUCACUGUCUAUUUCUACAGCUGCUCUAUUUCUCCUCCCCUCCGCAAACCUCCAUUCCUCACUCUUUACUCCUUGGAGAAGAUGCCCGCUGGCCUGGCAGUCAUGUCCACUCACAGCUACAGAGGAAGAGGACUGAAAAAAGGGGGAAGCUAAACAGGAGGAUUUGGGGAAAACACAGCUGAGUUCUAAAUCAGUUUCUGCCCUUUUGAGCUGUGUGACAAUGGGCAAGUUAUACAACCUCUCUGCCCUGUUUCCUCAGUCACAAAAUGUCAGAGAAUGAGAUAAUUCCUCUCUACAAGGACGGCCAUGAGAAAGAAAUGAGUCAAAAUAUGUAAAGGGUCUACUACAUGCUUUGGUACAUUUAUUUUUAUUUAUUUAUUUAUUUAUUUA
Molecule: long non-coding RNA, 1922 nt
Organism: Herpailurus yagouaroundi (jaguarundi)
Lineage: Eukaryota; Metazoa; Chordata; Mammalia; Carnivora; Felidae
Exons: 3
Source: RefSeq, a predicted model, not a curated record